This 604-nucleotide unclassified non-coding RNA is filed under the name Aspergillus fumigatus. RNAcentral describes it as "sequence contains 18S rRNA gene, ITS1, 5.8S rRNA gene, ITS2, 28S rRNA gene". The stretch from base 231 to 384 matches the Rfam family "5.8S ribosomal RNA". The record is from RNAcentral. Lineage: Eukaryota; Fungi; Ascomycota; Eurotiomycetes; Eurotiales; Aspergillaceae.
AGUCGUAACAAGGUUUCCGUAGGUGAACCUGCGGAAGGAUCAUUACCGAGUGAGGGCCCUCUGGGUCCAACCUCCCACCCGUGUCUAUCGUACCUUGUUGCUUCGGCGGGCCCGCCGUUUCGACGGCCGCCGGGGAGGCCUUGCGCCCCCGGGCCCGCGCCCGCCGAAGACCCCAACAUGAACGCUGUUCUGAAAGUAUGCAGUCUGAGUUGAUUAUCGUAAUCAGUUAAAACUUUCAACAACGGAUCUCUUGGUUCCGGCAUCGAUGAAGAACGCAGCGAAAUGCGAUAAGUAAUGUGAAUUGCAGAAUUCAGUGAAUCAUCGAGUCUUUGAACGCACAUUGCGCCCCCUGGUAUUCCGGGGGGCAUGCCUGUCCGAGCGUCAUUGCUGCCCUCAAGCACGGCUUGUGUGUUGGGCCCCCGUCCCCCUCUCCCGGGGGACGGGCCCGAAAGGCAGCGGCGGCACCGCGUCCGGUCCUCGAGCGUAUGGGGCUUUGUCACCUGCUCUGUAGGCCCGGCCGGCGCCAGCCGACACCCAACUUUAUUUUUCUAAGGUUGACCUCGGAUCAGGUAGGGAUACCCGCUGAACUUAAGCAUAUCAAUAA